UACGUAGGGUGCGAGCGUUGUCCGGAAUUAUUGGGCGUAAAGAGCUCGUAGGCGGUUUGUCGCGUCGGCCGUGAAAACUUGGGGCUUAACUCCAAGCUUGCGGUCGAUACGGGCAGACUAGAGUUCGGUAGGGGAGUCUGGAAUUCCUGGUGUAGCGGUGAAAUGCGCAGAUAUCAGGAGGAACACCGGUGGCGAAGGCGGGACUCUGGGCCGAUACUGACGCUGAGGAGCGAAAGCGUGGGGAGCAAACAGG
This 253-nucleotide ribosomal RNA is filed under the name uncultured bacterium. RNAcentral describes it as "partial 16S ribosomal RNA". It matches the Rfam family "Bacterial small subunit ribosomal RNA", at positions 524 to 776 of the family's 1533-position model. The record is from RNAcentral.